Molecule: ribosomal RNA, 497 nt
Filed under: uncultured bacterium
Lineage: Bacteria
Description: partial 16S ribosomal RNA
Rfam family: Bacterial small subunit ribosomal RNA
Source: RNAcentral
GAUGAACGCUGGCGGCGUGCCUAAUACAUGCAAGUCGAGCGAACAGAUGAGGAGCUUGCUCCUCUGACGUUAGCGGCGGACGGGUGAGUAACACGUGGAUAACCUACCUAUAAGACUGGGAUAACUUCGGGAAACCGGAGCUAAUACCGGAUAAUAUAUUGAACCGCAUGGUUCAAUAGUGAAAGACGGUUUUGCUGUCACCUAUAGAUGGAUCCGCGCCGCAUUAGCUAGUUGGUAAGGUAACGGCUUACCAAGGCAACGAUGCGUAGCCGACCUGAGAGGGUGAUCGGCCACACUGGAACUGAGACACGGACCAGACUCCUACGGGAGGCAGCAGUAGGGAAUCUUCCGCAAUGGGCGAAAGCCUGACGGAGCAACGCCGCGUGAGUGAUGAAGGUCUUCGGAUCGUAAAACUCUGUUAUUAGGGAAGAACAAAUGUGUAAGUAACUAUGCACGUCUUGACGGUACCUAAUCAGAAAGCCACGGCUAACUACGUG